GGCCCGAUGGCGCAACGGUAGCGCGUCAGAUUCCAGAUCAGUCCGAUAUGUUAAAGUGUCGAGACUUUGUGGUUAUACCUGAAGGUUAGGCGUUCAAAUCGCCUUCGGGUCA
This is a non-coding RNA of Ascochyta clinopodiicola, 112 nucleotides long. NCBI's taxonomy places the organism in Eukaryota, Fungi, Ascomycota, Dothideomycetes, Pleosporales, Didymellaceae. The record is from the annotation of a GenBank genome assembly.